Molecule: long non-coding RNA, 252 nt
Filed under: Actinidia chinensis (golden kiwifruit)
Lineage: Eukaryota; Viridiplantae; Streptophyta; Magnoliopsida; Ericales; Actinidiaceae
Description: long non-coding RNA (ACHI_LNC007130)
Source: RNAcentral
UAGUUUUCACUACCCGUUGAAAAGAUCCAGUAGGACGUAGGUGGUGAGGUUCCUGGAGCGGAGAAGCCGGGCGCCGUCAGUCGAGUAGGGUGGUGGGAUGGAUUUUGUGCAUUCUUACUCUGCAUCAUCGUCCUUGACAAGAUGAAAGAGGAACAGAGGAGGAGAGAGUAUCGGAGAAGAGAAGCGAAGAGAAGAGAGGGCAAAAGGGUCAAAUUCAGGCAGCUUUUCAUAAUGUUCGUGGCACCAUAAAAA